CGCGUAGGCGGCGGACACAGUCAGGCGUGAAAUUCCUGGGCUCAACCUGGGGGCUGCGUUUGAUACAUGUUCGCUUGAGUUCGGAAGAGGGUCGUGGAAUUCCCAGUGUAGAGGUGAAAUUCGUAGAUAUUGGGAAGAACACCGGUGGCGAAGGCGGCGACCUGGUCCGAUACUGACGCUGAGGCGCGAAAGCGUGGGGAGCAAACAGGAUUAGAUACCCUGGUAGUCCACGCCGUAAACGAUGUGCGCUGGAUGUUGGGUGACCUAGUCACUCAGUGUCGUAGCUAACGCGAUAAGCGCACCGCCUGGGGAGUACGGCCGCAAGGUUGAA
RNAcentral lists this ribosomal RNA (331 nucleotides) under uncultured bacterium. RNAcentral describes it as "bacterial SSU rRNA". It matches the Rfam family "Bacterial small subunit ribosomal RNA", at positions 568 to 898 of the family's 1533-position model. The record is from RNAcentral.